AAAAAUGUUAUUGCUUCUUAGAAAAAAAAAGAAUGUCUAUGUGAUUCUAAACAUUUUUUUUGUUUGAAUAAAAAUGUUCAUGCUGGAAAAAAAAUCAAUGCUUGGAGGUCACAGAGAUCAAUUCAUGUGGUAUAUACUACACGACCAAAAACUGGUUAGUAAUAUCAUACUUCCUGAAUUCAGAAAGUAGGAUCUAUUUCUUGCGUAGGUUAAAUCUGCAAUGAUUCAAAUAAGGCUGCAUAGGAGCAAAUGCCAUAUUUCAUGUCUAAGCAUACGGAUGAUUGAAAUUUUACAUGUCCAAAACAAAAACUAAAUGUUACUGUAGACAAUAAGUGGUCCACUUAAAGCAUCUGUCUUCAGAGUUCCAAAAGUAGGAUCCAUUGCGUUGUGUAAGAUUAAGCUUGCAAUGAUUCAAAAUAUGUCUUAGACAAACAACAUAAUUUAUUUACUAUUAUGAAAUCGAACUAUUGACUUUUCAAUAAUAGCUGUUUGUGUAAGAAAAUAAUUAGUUUAUAUAUGGAGAAGUAACUUACUCUUUGGUCAGCCAAGAGUGCACUCAAGUGUCUCCCCUCUGUAACUCAUGUUUUGCUUCCACAAGUGAAGCAGCUUCAAAUAUAUUCACUUACCGGUUUUACA
This 636-nucleotide long non-coding RNA is filed under the name Brassica napus (rape). RNAcentral describes it as "long non-coding RNA (BNAP_LNC013137)". The record is from RNAcentral. Lineage: Eukaryota; Viridiplantae; Streptophyta; Magnoliopsida; Brassicales; Brassicaceae.